RNAcentral lists this ribosomal RNA (486 nucleotides) under uncultured bacterium. RNAcentral's name for it is "partial 16S ribosomal RNA". It matches the Rfam family "Bacterial small subunit ribosomal RNA", at positions 28 to 507 of the family's 1533-position model. The record is from RNAcentral.
AUUGAACGCUGGCGGCAUGCCUUACACAUGCAAGUCGAACGGCAGCACGGGUGCUUGCACCUGGUGGCGAGUGGCGAACGGGUGAGUAAUACAUCGGUACACGUCCUGUAGUGGGGGAUAGCCCGGCGAAAGCCGGAUUCAUCCCGCGUACGAUCUACGGAUGAAAGCGGGGGCCCUGCCGGCCUCGCACUGAGGGGCUGGUCGAUGGCUGAUUAGCUAGUUGGUGGGGUAAAGGCCUACCAAGGCGACGAUCAGUAGCUGGUCUGAGAGGACGACCAGCCACACUGGGACUGAGACACGGCCCAGACUCCUACGGGAGGCAGCAGUGGGGAAUUUUGGACAAUGGGCGAAAGCCUGAUCCAGCCAUGCCGCGUGUGUGAAGAAGGCCUUCGGGUUGUAAAGCACUUUUGUCCGGAAAGAAAUGCUUGGCCCUAAUACGGGCGGGGGAUGACGGUACCGGAAGAAUAAGCACCGGCUAACUACGUG